Molecule: small nuclear RNA, 106 nt
Organism: Hyaena hyaena (striped hyena)
Lineage: Eukaryota; Metazoa; Chordata; Mammalia; Carnivora; Hyaenidae
Source: RefSeq, a predicted model, not a curated record
GUGCUCACUUCAGCAGCACAUACACUAAAAUGUGACAAUACAAGGAAGAUUAGCAUGUCCCCUUCGCAAGGAUGACAUGCAAAUUCAUGAAGCAUUCCAUAUUAAG